UUAAGCGACUAAGCGUACACGGUGGAUGCCCUGGCAGUCAGAGGCGAUGAAGGACGUGCUAAUCUGCGAUAAGCGUCGGUGAGGUGAUAUGAACCGUUAUAACCGGCGAUUUCCGAAUGGGGAAACCCAGUGUGUUUCGACACACUAUCAUUAACUGAAUCCAUAGGUUAAUGAGGCGAACCGGGGGAACUGAAACAUCUAAGUACCCCGAGGAAAAGAAAUCAACCGAGAUUCCCCCAGUAGCGGCGAGCGAACGGGGAGGAGCCCAGAGCCUGAAUCAGUGUGUGUGUUAGUGGAAGCGUCUGGAAAGGCGCGCGAUACAGGGUGACAGCCCCGUACACAAAAAUGCACAUAUUGUGAGCUCGAUGAGUAGGGCGGGACACGUGGUAUCCUGUCUGAAUAUGGGGGGACCAUCCUCCAAGGCUAAAUACUCCUGACUGACCGAUAGUGAACCAGUACCGUGAGGGAAAGGCGAAAAGAACCCCGGCGAGGGGAGUGAAAAAGAACCUGAAACCGUGUACGUACAAGCAGUGGGAGCCUCUUUAUGGGGUGACUGCGUACCUUUUGUAUAAUGGGUCAGCGACUUAUAUUCUGUAGCAAGGUUAACCGAAUAGGGGAGCCGAAGGGAAACCGAGUCUUAACUGGGCGUUAAGUUGCAGGGUAUAGACCCGAAACCCGGUGAUCUAGCCAUGGGCAGGUUGAAGGUUGGGUAACACUAACUGGAGGACCGAACCGACUAAUGUUGAAAAAUUAGCGGAUGACUUGUGGCUGGGGGUGAAAGGCCAAUCAAACCGGGAGAUAGCUGGUUCUCCCCGAAAGCUAUUUAGGUAGCGCCUCGUGAAUUCAUCUCCGGGGGUAGAGCACUGUUUCGGCAAGGGGGUCAUCCCGACUUACCAACCCGAUGCAAACUGCGAAUACCGGAGAAUGUUAUCACGGGAGACACACGGCGGGUGCUAACGUCCGUCGUGAAGAGGGAAACAACCCAGACCGCCAGCUAAGGUCCCAAAGUCAUGGUUAAGUGGGAAACGAUGUGGGAAGGCCCAGACAGCCAGGAUGUUGGCUUAGAAGCAGCCAUCAUUUAAAGAAAGCGUAAUAGCUCACUGGUCGAGUCGGCCUGCGCGGAAGAUGUAACGGGGCUAAACCAUGCACCGAAGCUGCGGCAGCGACACUAUGUGUUGUUGGGUAGGGGAGCGUUCUGUAAGCCUGUGAAGGUGGCCUGUGAGGGUUGCUGGAGGUAUCAGAAGUGCGAAUGCUGACAUAAGUAACGAUAAAGCGGGUGAAAAGCCCGCUCGCCGGAAGACCAAGGGUUCCUGUCCAACGUUAAUCGGGGCAGGGUGAGUCGACCCCUAAGGCGAGGCCGAAAGGCGUAGUCGAUGGGAAACAGGUUAAUAUUCCUGUACUUGGUGUUACUGCGAAGGGGGGACGGAGAAGGCUAUGUUGGCCGGGCGACGGUUGUCCCGGUUUAAGCGUGUAGGCUGGUUUUCCAGGCAAAUCCGGAAAACCAAGGCUGAGGCGUGAUGACGAGGCACUACGGUGCUGAAGCGACAAAUGCCCUGCUUCCAGGAAAAGCCUCUAAGCAUCAGGUAACAUCAAAUCGUACCCCAAACCGACACAGGUGGUCAGGUAGAGAAUACCAAGGCGCUUGAGAGAACUCGGGUGAAGGAACUAGGCAAAAUGGUGCCGUAACUUCGGGAGAAGGCACGCUGAUAUGUAGGUGAAGCGACUUGCUCGUGGAGCUGAAAUCAGUCGAAGAUACCAGCUGGCUGCAACUGUUUAUUAAAAACACAGCACUGUGCAAACACGAAAGUGGACGUAUACGGUGUGACGCCUGCCCGGUGCCGGAAGGUUAAUUGAUGGGGUUAGCGGUAACGCGAAGCUCUUGAUCGAAGCCCCGGUAAACGGCGGCCGUAACUAUAACGGUCCUAAGGUAGCGAAAUUCCUUGUCGGGUAAGUUCCGACCUGCACGAAUGGCGUAAUGAUGGCCAGGCUGUCUCCACCCGAGACUCAGUGAAAUUGAACUCGCUGUGAAGAUGCAGUGUACCCGCGGCAAGACGGAAAGACCCCGUGAACCUUUACUAUAGCUUGACACUGAACAUUGAGCCUUGAUGUGUAGGAUAGGUGGGAGGCUUUGAAGUGUGGACGCCAGUCUGCAUGAAGCCGACCUUGAAAUACCACCCUUUAAUGUUUGAUGUUCUAACGUUGGCCCGUAAUCCGGGUUGCGGACAGUGUCUGGUGGGUAGUUUGACUGGGGCGGUCUCCUCCUAAAGAGUAACGGAGGAGCACGAAGGUUGGCUAAUCCUGGUCGGACAUCAGGAGGUUAGUGCAAUGGCAUAAGCCAGCUUGACUGCGAGCGUGACGGCGCGAGCAGGUGCGAAAGCAGGUCAUAGUGAUCCGGUGGUUCUGAAUGGAAGGGCCAUCGCUCAACGGAUAAAAGGUACUCCGGGGAUAACAGGCUGAUACCGCCCAAGAGUUCAUAUCGACGGCGGUGUUUGGCACCUCGAUGUCGGCUCAUCACAUCCUGGGGCUGAAGUAGGUCCCAAGGGUAUGGCUGUUCGCCAUUUAAAGUGGUACGCGAGCUGGGUUUAGAACGUCGUGAGACAGUUCGGUCCCUAUCUGCCGUGGGCGCUGGAGAACUGAGGGGGGCUGCUCCUAGUACGAGAGGACCGGAGUGGACGCAUCACUGGUGUUCGGGUUGUCAUGCCAAUGGCACUGCCCGGUAGCUAAAUGCGGAAGAGAUAAGUGCUGAAAGCAUCUAAGCACGAAACUUGCCCCGAGAUGAGUUCUCCCUGACUCCUUGAGAGUCCUGAAGGAACGUUGAAGACGACGACGUUGAUAGGCCGGGUGUGUAAGCGCAGCGAUGCGUUGAGCUAACCGGUACUAAUGAACCGUGAGGCUUAACCUU
RNAcentral lists this ribosomal RNA (2902 nucleotides) under Escherichia coli HVH 32 (4-3773988). Its description in RNAcentral is "bacterial LSU rRNA". It matches the Rfam family "Bacterial large subunit ribosomal RNA". The record is from RNAcentral. Lineage: Bacteria; Pseudomonadati; Pseudomonadota; Gammaproteobacteria; Enterobacterales; Enterobacteriaceae.